RNAcentral lists this ribosomal RNA (49 nucleotides) under Physcia dubia. RNAcentral's name for it is "partial 28S ribosomal RNA". The record is from RNAcentral. Lineage: Eukaryota; Fungi; Ascomycota; Lecanoromycetes; Caliciales; Physciaceae.
GUUGACCUCGGAUCAGUAGGGAUACCCGCUGAACUUAAGCAUAUCAAUA